UGGGGAAUAUUGGACAAUGGGGGGAACCCUGAUCCAGCCAUGCCGCGUGUGUGAAGAAGGCCUUAUGGUUGUAAAGCACUUUAAGCGAGGAGGAGGGUACUGGUAUUAAUACUACCAGCUACUGGACGUUACUCGCAGAAUAAGCACCGGCUAACUCUGUGCCAGCAGCCGCGGUAAUACAGAGGGUGCGAGCGUUAAUCGGAUUUACUGGGCGUAAAGCGUGCGUAGGCGGCUAAUUGAGUCGGAUGUGAAAUCCCAGGGCUUAACCUGGGAAUUGCAGUCGAUACUGGUUAGCUAGAGUGUGGGAGAGGAUGGUAGAAUUCCAGGUGUAGCGGUGAAAUGCGUAGAGAUCUGGAGGAAUACCGAUGGCGAAGGCAGCCAUCUGGCCUAACACUGACGCUGAGGUACGAAAGCAUGGGGAGCAAACAGG
RNAcentral lists this ribosomal RNA (430 nucleotides) under Pseudomonadota bacterium. RNAcentral describes it as "Proteobacteria bacterium partial 16S ribosomal RNA". It matches the Rfam family "Bacterial small subunit ribosomal RNA", at positions 355 to 776 of the family's 1533-position model. Lineage: Bacteria; Pseudomonadati; Pseudomonadota. The record is from RNAcentral.